UACGGAGGAUGCGAGCGUUAUCCGGAUUUAUUGGGUUUAAAGGGUGCGUAGGCGGCUUUUUAAGUCAGCGGUGAAAUUUUGCAGCUUAACUGUAACAGUGCCGUUGAUACUGGGGAGCUAGGAUUUGGUUGCUGUGGGUGGAAUGUGUGGUGUAGCGGUGAAAUGCUUAGAGAUCACACAGAAUAUCGAUUGCGAAGGCAGCUCACAAAGCCAAGAUUGAGGCUGAGGCACGAAAGUGUGGGGAUCAAACAGGGUUAGA
This 259-nucleotide ribosomal RNA is filed under the name uncultured prokaryote. RNAcentral's name for it is "partial 16S ribosomal RNA". It matches the Rfam family "Bacterial small subunit ribosomal RNA", at positions 524 to 782 of the family's 1533-position model. The record is from RNAcentral.